This 432-nucleotide unclassified non-coding RNA is filed under the name soil metagenome. Its description in RNAcentral is "partial contains 5.8S ribosomal RNA, internal transcribed spacer 2, and large subunit ribosomal RNA". The stretch from base 1 to 120 matches the Rfam family "5.8S ribosomal RNA", at positions 35 to 154 of the family's 154-position model. The record is from RNAcentral.
GAUGAAGAACGUAGCGAAAUGCGAUACGUAAUGUGAAUUGCAGAAUUCAGUGAAUCAUCGAAUCUUUGAACGCAUAUUGCGCUCUCUGGUAUUCCGGAGAGCAUGCUUGUUUGAGUAUCAGUAAACACCUCAACUUCCAUAUCUUUUUUGAAAUGGGAGUUGGACUUGAGUGAUCCCAACGCUUUUCCUCACCGAAAAGUGGCGGGUUACUUGAAAUGCAGGUGCAGCUGGACUUUUCUCUGAGCUAUAAGCAUAUCUAUUUAGUCUGCCUAAAAACAGAUUAUUACCUUUGCUGCAGCUAACAUAAAGGAGAUUAGUUCUUGUGCUGACUGAUGCAGGAUUCACAAAGACAGGCUUCGGCCGACUUUGUAAACUCGAUCUCAAAUCAAGUAAGACUACCCGCUGAACUUAAGCAUAUCAAUAAGCGGACGA